GUUGAAACACCGGUUCUCGUGCGAUCACCGAAGUUAAGAAACGUCCAGCUUGGUCCUUACCUGGAUGGGUGACUGCUUCGUAAUACCAGGUGCUGUAAG
Molecule: non-coding RNA, 99 nt
Organism: Acanthosepion pharaonis
Lineage: Eukaryota; Metazoa; Mollusca; Cephalopoda; Sepiida; Sepiidae
Source: the annotation of a GenBank genome assembly